Humulus lupulus (European hop) is the source of this 2103-nucleotide long non-coding RNA. RefSeq lists it as uncharacterized. NCBI's taxonomy places the organism in Eukaryota, Viridiplantae, Streptophyta, Magnoliopsida, Rosales, Cannabaceae. The transcript has 5 exons. The record is from RefSeq and is a predicted model, not a curated record.
CGAUUCUCGCUAUUUCUCUCAUUAUUUUCUCUGUUUCUCUCAUUCUCUUCCUCACCUCCAAUCCGCCUUCAUCUCAUUCGAUCAUUUGAGGAGACCAGGCGCCUCCUCUGAUCUUCAAAUACCAGAUCCAUGACUUCGCCUCUCUGCAACUUUGCUCAUUUUCGUUGCCGUCUCUGCAUUUCUUUGAUGCCUCCGCUGCAUUUCUUCAUCUCCGCCGAUGUAGUUCUUUGACUCUACCCCUGGGACUCUGUUCGUUUGAUGCCACUGACCCUUCGUUUCUCCUACUACUCCGUUAAAUUCAUGGAUCCCCUACGACUUAUCACUUUGUUGUCUUUAUUUUUGCUUUGGGUUAGGAUAUCUUGGAUUGGGGCCUGGUGGCGGAUUGGAACCUUUGAUGGUGGAUUGGAGUUGUUGGUGACAGUUCACAGUGGCUGGUGGCUGGUGACGAACAUAGAGACAUUGUAGAUUCUUGUUAAGAGAAGAGGACUGUAAUGAUAUCAAGUUUGGAGUGGGCAAUCAAGUUGAUUUCUAUGAUGUCUCAUUUGUCAAAGAUGCUAAAGGGGGCCCUUAUGGUGACGCAUGGCAAAGUGUACAAUGCAAUGAGUCUCAAAUAUUGAGUAUAUACGGUGUUUGAGAAAAUGCCUCAUAAAGUGCUAUGUAUUUAUAAUGCGCAAAAUGGUUUGAGAAAAUACUUCAGACAACAAGGCAAUGCUUGAUCUUGGUAUGAAAGUAAAUGAUUUCUCUCUCUAGUUGGCUUGUAAUUAAUGUUAUGUUAUUUGGGUUUCAAAUGCCUAUUGGUUUGUGACGUAAGAUUAGACAGCAUUUGGUUGUGUAUUGUGUACUCCUUGUCUUAUAAAGCUAAAAGGAAUUAUUGUAAUUAUUAGAGGCAUGGUAUACUUCCAUAACAAAGAAUAUAUUGAUAUAUAUAUAUAUUUAUAUAUAUAUAUGUAGAAUCUGUCAUAACAUAUUUGGUUUUUUUUUCUCUCUUCAUUACUUUGGAUGGUCUAAUCAACUGGACCUAAUUAGUGCCUCACCAUUUAUUUUCUCUUGGUUAUUUAUAAGCUCUUGUAGUUCUUUAAUAUAUUUCUCAUAGAUGUGAUUCUACUUAGUGUCAUCUUUCAUUCUGACAACCUUGUGUGUAAGCCAAAAAUCAAAGUCAUACAUUUGUUUCUUAUUAAUAAUUAUGAUAUUGUGUUAUAUAUUUGAGUGGUUGAGUGUUAUAUGUUUUAUAAUGAAUAAUAUAUUUACCAAUCAUAAUGACUACCAUGUUUACUUUUCAGAAGGAUCUUUUGUUCUAAGAGACAUGGGAGUACCAGUGAACACAUCAGAGGAAACUUAAAUUGAAAUUGCAGAGGCUGACACAGAGGAAAAAGGUGUUGCUGAUGUAGAAUGCAAUGAUGCGUGAAUGAAGCAAUCCCGAGGUAGCACGCUCAAGCACAGAAUCACUAAUUUCGUGGUCCUCUAAGAAACAAACCGUGGUAGCACGCUCAAGCACAGAAUCAGAGUAUCAAGCGUUAGCCCAAUUAGCUGCUGAACUGACUUGGCUGGAAGGAUUACUGUGUGAAAUGAAAUUCAAACUUAUGGCAACUCUUGUUAUAUGGUGUGAUAACAUGAGUGCAAGUGCACUCGCAUCCAAUCCCGUCUAUCAUGCUCGCACGAAACAUAUUGAGCUUGACAUUCACUUUGUAAGAGACAAGGUUUUACAGAAGAAGUUAGAAAUAAGAUAUGUGCCCUCACACGAUCAAGUCGCAGAUUGUUUGACAAAGGGUUUAUCACCAACACGUUUUCAAUUUCUAAUAAGCAAACUCAAUGUAGUUCCAGCUCCAUUUCGCUUGAGGGUGGUGUCAAAGAAAUUGAAAUUGCAGAGGCUGACACAGAGGAAAAAGGUGCUGCUGAUGUAGAAUGCAAUGAUGCGUGAAUGAAGCAAUCCCGAGGAGGAUUUUAUUGUUACAUUGUUUUGCCAAUUCUGUUAUGUAAUAAUUUGUAAUAUUCCCUUCUAUGUACACGUGUCUCUCUUUCUAUGGGUUUGUUUUAUACCCGUUGUAAUUCCUCUGCUAUAUAAUGAGAAGGCCUCUGCUCAUAAUUGUUGAGCUGAUUCAAUCA